This 110-nucleotide ribosomal RNA is filed under the name Pteropus alecto (black flying fox). The record is from RNAcentral. Lineage: Eukaryota; Metazoa; Chordata; Mammalia; Chiroptera; Pteropodidae. RNAcentral also lists the same sequence under 1 other name.
GUCUAUGGCCAUGCUACCCUGAACAAGCCCGAUCCCGUCUGAUCUUGGAAGCUAAGCAGGGUCAGGCCCAGUUAGUACUUGGAUGGGAUACAGACCAGGUGCUGUAGGCG